Non-coding RNA from Equus caballus (horse), 2898 nucleotides. The record is from RefSeq and is a predicted model, not a curated record. NCBI's taxonomy places the organism in Eukaryota, Metazoa, Chordata, Mammalia, Perissodactyla, Equidae.
CUCAGGGCUAAUCUUCCUCAAAAAAAAAAAAAAGACAGGAGGUUCAUUUUAGAAACAAUAGAAAACCAAGCUGAAAUGAUAGGGUAGAACUGUUGAUAGAGGGCCUGAAUUCGAGCCUGAGAAAUUUGACUUGAUCUAAUAGAUCAUUCUGGGCGGAUUUGGCAGGGGGAGAGGGGUGAAGACAAGACAGGAGACUAUAACCUUGUCGGGUUCUGAAGUAGCAAGUGGGAUUUAAAAGGAAGUACUAGACAUAAAUGCCACUGAGGAAAAGACUUAGAGGGUUCCGUGAGUAUAUAGAGGGUUCAAAGAAGAGCAAGAAGUCCAAGAUGAUGUUAGGAUUGUGGCUAGAGUUGAUAAUGGUACACAUAGACCUUGACACCUUAGAGUUGGAAGAUGGUCAGCACUCAAAAGGUACAAUUGCUGGAGAAAGGAGCAAGAAAUUUUUGCAGGGUAACCCUCCUAUUCAUCAUGUCCCCAAUCAAGAAAACUUUAGUUUGCUACUCAAAUUGAAUUAGAAGGUAAGAAAGCAAGCUUUCACCCUGUCAUGGGCCCUGUGCUGGUGUUUUUAUGGUCGACCUAUUUUUAUUUCCGUUUCAGCCCUACUAAUGUAAAAAUGCUCAGUGGUGCAGUAUAUAAUGUUACAGUGGAAAUAAAUCAAUAAGUGUUUGUUAAAUACGUACCAAAUGCUGCUCAGCACUCUGCUAGGCCUAGAGGGCUGGAAAAGUAUAAAAAGGGCCUCUGCCUUUCAAAAACUUACAAUCUGGUUGGAGAAAAAAGGUCAACACACCUGACCCAGCGGAGAAUAAAUUCCAUGGGCAAUCUGUGUGGACUGUAAAGUGUGCUUAUUUAGAAAUAGUGGAGAAUAGAGCUGAGUGGAUUGGAAAUAAUAUAAUCUAUAGUGUUCAUCAGUCAACAAAUUUUCUUUAAUGUUUAAGCACUAGUCUAGGUUCUGGAGGUAAAAUAAAAACUUUCUUCUCUCAUUGAGCUUGAUUUCCACUUGGGAGAGACAGAGAGGAACAAAUAAAUACAAAACUAUUAAAUAGUAAUAACUGUUCUGAAGAAAAUAAAAUGUGAAGGUGUCAAAAUGAGUGUCUGGAAAGUAGGUUAGAUGUUUCUGAGGAACAUUUAAACAAUGACUUGAAUGAAAGAAACAAGCAAUCAUGGAACCAUCUGGAGAAGAGCGGUUCAGGCAGAGAGUAAAAGUACAGAGCCCUAAGGAGGGGUCAAGCUUACUGUGUUUGAGACCAGAAAAGGCCAAGUGUUUCUGGAGUGUAGAGAGCCAGGAGGAAAGUGAAGGAGAUGAAACAGGGAAGGUAAGUAAGGCCUUGUAGGUAAGAAGGGAUUUUGAGGUCAAGUUAAAGUAUGGAUAUUUGGAAGAUUAGUCACUCUGGCAUUCUGGAUUAGAGGAGGAAGAGAUUAGGACCUGGAAGACCAGAUGGAAGCCUGCGUGAUAAUCCGGGCAGGAGGUGAUGUGAGGUAGACGAGGUUGGUGGCAAGGUUAGCAAGGAAGACAAAAAUGUCAAGCAGAUGAAGUGUUGGGUAUUUGUGAGGGGUGGUCAGUGGUGGGGAAAGCCCACAGUAUCAAAUGCAGCAAAAAGGUCAAAGAGAAUAAGCUUUAAAUAAAAGCUAGUAUAAUUAACAAGAAAGAUGUCAUGUGUCAAUUCCAAGAGAAGAGUUUUCAUAAGGUGGGGUGGUAAGAAGUGAGGAAAUGAAGGCAGUGACCUUUGUAAGAAUCAGGACAACUCAAAAGGUAAAAAGCAUAUGUACAUUUUAGUUACCUUUUAAAGCUAUUUACGUUUGGGAUACUAUUAAAUCUUUAAAUCCAGGUAAACAUUCCCAGCCAGGUCUAAUUAUGUCACCAUACUGAAGGGAAAACAAACUUUUACCACAGAAACAUAUCUUAUAUGUUUUUCUGGGCCAAAAAUCAGUUCAUCAAUGACUCCCUGCUCUAAAUGUCUUCAGAGAAAGUUCACUCUUACUCCUGGGAUAUGCAAGAAUCUAACAGCAGAAACAUUACAGCAGAUGCAGUACCAUGUCAGUUUUGAUUCCAUUACUGCCACCUGUCCGGUCUAAACCAUGUUGGCUGUGGGUAUAACCUUGAGCACGUCACACAACCUCGCUGAACUCCAGGUUUUCAUUAGUAAGGAAGAGGAAUCUCUCAGAUUUUAGGUUUACAGGCAUACAGGUUAGCACGUCUGUUGAAGAGAAACAAAUCCCAUUCUGUGAGAUCCACAUGAACAGCUUUCAUGACUCCAAGAGGGACUUUGGCAAAGUCUUUCCAAAAAGACAACUUGGUUGAACUAGAUGUUCUAUUGUUCAGCAAAUUGCAAGACAAUUAAUUAGUACUUUUCUUCCCUGGAAACAGACUAGGCUAGUUUGGCAGUCAGAAUGAAAGGGGAAACUUAAGUCUCCUCUAUUUGUAGCUAUGCAGCUUGAGCAUCUUGAGGAAAUCAAGCCUGACUCUGGCCAAGUUGUGUCCACACAUGCAGCACAUGCUUGUGCAUGUCUUCUCUCGAUUGUCUGAUACAGUUUUCCUUCCAAAGAAUAACAACUGACAAGCACGAAGUCUCAGUAACAAUCUGAGGGGAAAUAAAGAAUGAAAUGACCCUAUUUCAGAGAUUGGAGGAGAAGCAAACGUGAUGUUUUCCUUUAUUGCUUUUUCUCCAAGUCAAGUACAAGAGCAAUUGGCAAAAGAGGAAGAAAACCUGAGAAGAAAGUAAGGAGCCUCGACAAAGGCCCUGAUCUAAUGUGAUUCUCCACACAGGUUUUGGUAGUGCUGCAUUCGUCCUUACAAGGCAUGGUGGGAUAUUUGUCCAACUUCCCAGGACCAUAGGGCAAAAUGGACACCCUUGUGUAUAGAAGAGGUGACUUAAAAAAACACUGACUUUCCUUUAUGAA